UUGAUGUCCCUUAAAAGAAGAUGGACAUAAGUGUAUAAUUUAUGAAAUCAAUGGUGACUAAAUCGCUAAUAAUGCUAAUAUAAGGUCGUUUAGUAAUUUACCAAAAACGAAACGGCAAAGCCAAUACGAAAUAACUGAACGCGAAUUCGAAAACCCUGGUUUUAGGGCUUUUCACUGUCUACUAUCUCUGAACUCUUCUUAAGAUGGCGAAUUAUUCAAUAACUCGUCCAUGGUUUCUCGAAUUGGUGCCCCUGCUGGUUGUUAUUCUAAUAGCUGCUCAUGUCAUCGCGUUGGUUUACUGGAUGUACAGAUUAGCUACUGAUAAACAGCCACAAAGAAGAAAGGCGCAUUGAUUUUGAUUAUCAGGUAGUUUUUUUCGACACAUUGGAUGGGAUUUCUUAGACAGGUUAUACAACAUUUCUGAAAAGCAGCAUUUAAAUAUGUGGUAACUUGUGUUCUCUAUGUUAAAUAUUUGCUGCAUGCUUCUUGUCAGCUGUUUAUUCAAAAUCAGACAUUGUUGAGUCCCUUGUAUCAUCCCUGAUGUUAACUUGCUUGUUUGAUUGCUCUCCCACUUUGCUUGUCUUAAUUUAUUCAUUGCGACCAGCUAAUAUUACACUGUACUCAUAUUGAUGAAUUGUUGUUGAAAAUUAAGGAAAAUUUAAGUAACGGCUAAACUCCUUUCUUGCAA
This is a long non-coding RNA of Mercurialis annua (annual mercury), 688 nucleotides long. RefSeq lists it as uncharacterized. The record is from RefSeq and is a predicted model, not a curated record. NCBI's taxonomy places the organism in Eukaryota, Viridiplantae, Streptophyta, Magnoliopsida, Malpighiales, Euphorbiaceae. The transcript is spliced from 3 exons.